This 1385-nucleotide unclassified non-coding RNA is filed under the name uncultured Bordetella sp. RNAcentral's name for it is "partial 16S-23S ribosomal RNA intergenic spacer". The stretch from base 402 to 1385 matches the Rfam family "Bacterial small subunit ribosomal RNA". The record is from RNAcentral. Lineage: Bacteria; Pseudomonadati; Pseudomonadota; Betaproteobacteria; Burkholderiales; Alcaligenaceae.
CCAGCCCCGACUUCAUCCCGUCAUCUCUAAAUCGCGAUUUUGGCCAGGCUAACUACUUGCAACCCAUCGUGACGGGUUACACCUCAACGUAGACGCGACAUGCUGAUCCGCGAGGCCGAGCCGCAGACCGCGACUACGACCGUUUCUACUCACUGUAUGACGUGAGCCCUACUAUAAGGCCAUGAGGACUCCGAUCCCUACCCGGUUUAGUCAUUACCGGCGUCCCAUUAGAGUGCCCUUUCGUAGCAACUAAUGACAGGGCUGCCGCGGGAGACCCGAGACGACACGAGCGAUCACAGCCAUGCUGGUUCCUCUGCACACCCAAAUCCCUUCGGGAUUACAUCAUGGUAGGCAUCUCGCGUUGCAUCGAACUAUCCACAUCCAACCGCUUGUGCUCUCGUCAAUCCUGGAGUUUUAUGCGAGCCUCCCCAGGCGGCGUUGGGCUGUUAUCAAGUUCGAAGGCCUCAACAGCGCGCCACGUUUAGGGCGUGGACUACCAGGGUAGUUUCACGCUUUCGCAUGAGCGUCAGCUAUUUAGAAGGUUGCCUGCCAUCGGUGUUCCUCCGCGUGUAGCAGUGAAAUGCGUAGAUAUGCGGAGGAACACCGAUGGCGAAGGCAGCCUCCUGGGAUAACACUGACGCUCAUGCACGAAAGCGUGGGGAGCAACAGGAUUAGAUACCCUGUAGUCCACGCCCUAAACGAUGUCAACUAGCUGUUGGGGCCUUCGGGCCUUGGUAGCGCAGCUAACGCGUGAAGUUGACCGCCUGGGGAGUACGGUCGCAAGAUUAAACCUAAAGGAAUUGACGGGGACCUGCGUACAAGCGGUGGAUGAUGUGGAUUAAUUCGAUAAACGCGAAAAGCCUUACCUACCCUUGACAUGUCUGGAAUCCCGAAGAGAUUUGGGAGUGCUCGCAAGAGAACCGGAACACAGGUGCUGCAUGGCUGUCGUCAGCUCGUGUCGUGAGAUGUUGGGUUAAGUCCCGCAACGAGCGCAACCCUUGUCAUUAGUUGCUACGAAAGGGCACUCUAAUGAGACUCUGGUGACAAACCGGAGGAAGGUGGGGAUGACGUCAAGUCCUCAUGGCCCUUAUGGGUAGGGCUUCACACGUCAUACAAUGGUCGGGACAGAGGGUCGCCAACCCGCGAGGGGGAGCCAAUCCCAGAAACCCGAUCGUAGUCCGGAUCGCAGCCUGCAACUCGACUGCGUGAAGUCGGAAUCGCUAGUAAUCGCGGAUCAGCAUGUCGCGGUGAAUACGUUCCCGGGUCUUGUACACACCGCCCGUCACACCAUGGGAGUGGGUUUUACCAGAAGUAGUUAGCCUAACCGUAAGGAGGGCGAUUACCACGGUAGGAUUCAUGACUGGGGUGAAGUCGUAACAAGGUAA